CUCCUGGGAGAAAUCAAAUCCUAGCCCCCUGAAUUGGGGCCACAUGACCUCUCUGGACCUGUUUCCCCAUCUGGGAAAUGAAGGGCUCAACUAAUGAAAACUGGACUCGAAGACCCUUUCUAGCUCGAAAUCUUGGCUUCUAGAUCCGGGUUCUUAACCUGGGGUCCAUAAACCUCAACAGAGUUCAAGAGUUAACGAGGAGGCCGUGGGGCUGGCGAGGGGCUGCCAGAUUGGAGUCGGGGAUGGCUGAGCAAACAUUUGUCUGUGAGUGUCGGAGGGACAGUUUGUUCUGGAAAGCAUCUGGAAUGCUGGAGCUGAUGAGAUAUUAACGGAGACAAGAAAAUUGACAUUAACCCGGGGAACUUUGGACCGGGAUGAAGAGAAACAAGCCUCAAGUGAAAAAAAAAAAAUCCCUUCCUUUAGCGUCUGUUGUAGACUGAUAGGACCGAACAGGGAUUGAGGAGGAAAAGAAUAAAACUGGUUAACUGAU
Molecule: long non-coding RNA, 490 nt
Organism: Sarcophilus harrisii (Tasmanian devil)
Lineage: Eukaryota; Metazoa; Chordata; Mammalia; Dasyuromorphia; Dasyuridae
Exons: 2
Source: RefSeq, a predicted model, not a curated record